AUUGGAUUUGGGUGUGAAGGGAGGGUAACACAGUGGACGCCAAUAGCCUCAGGUCGAGAUACAGAGGUCAAUAAGAACCCUUUUAUGCGCACUUUAAAUAUAAACUGUAGGAGUCUGUUCAGAGACACACAUUCACACACAAGCAAAAUACAUGUGAACUAAACUUGCAGUCAUGCAGUUCUAUUGGCACUUUUGGACUGACACACUCUCUCUCAUCCUGAGGUCACAGCUCAGAGAAACCUAGGGACCUCAGAAAGAGUCUCAGUCUGGUAGGAUCCCAGGACAUUUCCGUGGUGAUCCAGCCCACCAAUCUUACACCUGGAGUGGUCCAAAUUCCCAUCUAGCUCCAACUAUCUUCUAUCACAAGAGCUGCCAAGAGGCCAGGAGUGGUAGAGAAUGCCCGCAAUCCCAGCUACGCAGGAGGCCGGGGCAUAAGAAUCCCCAGUUCAAGGCCAGUCUCAGCAACUUAGUGAGACCCUGUUUCAAAAAAUAGAAAAAGCUGGGAUGAAAAGAGACAGACACUGGGGAAAGGAGGACUUCCUUGGCCAGGGACUACUUUCCCCAUGAAAAAAAGAAGGUGAUGCCAUCCUAUGGCUCUGUGACUGGCUGCCACUGAGUCUACCAGGAAGAACCAGGGACCUGGUUCUCUGUUGUGACCUUGUCCCAGAAUUUCCUUUGCUUCAGAAAUAGCGGUGGACCCUCCUGGGAGAACUAAAAAACAGGUGAUGGGAGGAUUUUUUUUUUUCCUCUCAGGGGAGGGACUUGGCUGGGUAGAUAUAAACCCCAACCUGUACAGUUCUCUAUAAAAUGAUUU
This 814-nucleotide long non-coding RNA is filed under the name Marmota monax (woodchuck). The record is from RNAcentral. Lineage: Eukaryota; Metazoa; Chordata; Mammalia; Rodentia; Sciuridae.